CCAUCCCGCGUGUGUGAUGAAGGCCUUCGGGUUGUAAAGCACUUUUGACAGGGAAGAAAUGACAGGAGCUAAUAACUUCUGUAGAUGACGGUACCUGUAGAAUAAGCACCGGCUAACUACGUGCCAGCAGCCGCGGUAAUACGUAGGGUGCAAGCGUUAAUCGGAAUUACUGGGCGUAAAGGGUACGCAGGCGGCUAGGAAAGAAAGAUGUGAAAUCCCAGGGCUCAACCUUGGAACUGCAUUUUUAACUACCUAGCUAGAGUAUGUCAGAGGGGGGUAGAAUUUCCACGUGUAGCAGUGAAAUGCGUAGAGAUGUGGAGGAAUACCGAUGGCGAAGGCAGCCCCCUGGGAUAAUACUGACGCUCAGGUACGAAAGCGUGGGGAGCAAACAGGAUUAGAUACCCUGGUAGUCCACGCCCUAAACGAUGUCAACUAGCUGUUGGGGCCGUUAGGCCUUAGUAGCGCAGCUAACGCGUGAAGUUGACCGCCUGGGGAGUACGGUCGCAAGAUUAAAACUCAAAGGAAUUGACGGGGACCCGCACAAGCGGUGGAUGAUGUGGAUUAAUUCGAUGCAACGCGAAAAACCUUACCUACGCUUGACAUGUCUGGAAUUCUGAAGAGAUUUAGAAGUGCCCGCAAGGGAACCGGAACACAGGUGGCGCAUGGCAGUUGUCAGCUCGUGUCGUGAGAUGUUGGGUUAAGUCCCGCAACGAGCGCAACCCUUGUCACUAGUUGCUACGCAAGAGCACUCUAGUGAGACUGCCGGUGACAAACCGGAGGAAGGUGGGGAUGACGUCAAGUCCUCAUGGCCCUUAUGCGUAGGGCUUCACACGUCAUACAAUGGUCGGGACAGAGGGACGCCAACCCGCGAGGGGGAGCUAAUCUCAUAAACCCGAUCGUAGUCCGGAUCGCAGUCUGCAACUCGACUGCGUGAAGUCGGAAUCGCUAGUAAUCGCGGAUCAGAAUGCCGCGGUGAAUACGUUCCCGGGUCUUGUACACACCGCCCGUCACACCCUGGAAAUGGGUUUCACCAGAAGUAGGUAGCCAACCGGUAAGGAGGGCGCUUACCACGGUGGGA
Molecule: ribosomal RNA, 1078 nt
Filed under: Alcaligenes faecalis
Lineage: Bacteria; Pseudomonadati; Pseudomonadota; Betaproteobacteria; Burkholderiales; Alcaligenaceae
Description: bacterial SSU rRNA
Rfam family: Bacterial small subunit ribosomal RNA
Source: RNAcentral